AGCGCGUUAGCUCAGUGGUAGAGCGCGCCCCUGAUAAGGGCGAGGUCGUAGGUUCAAAUCCUGCACACGCUACCA
Molecule: transfer RNA, 75 nt
Filed under: Stenotrophomonas phage Mendera
Lineage: Duplodnaviria; Heunggongvirae; Uroviricota; Caudoviricetes
Description: tRNA-Ile
Rfam family: tRNA
About the family: Transfer RNA (tRNA) molecules are approximately 80 nucleotides in length. Their secondary structure includes four short double-helical elements and three loops (D, anti-codon, and T loops). Further hydrogen bonds mediate the characteristic L-shaped molecular structure. tRNAs have two regions of fundamental functional importance: the anti-codon, which is responsible for specific mRNA codon recognition, and the 3' end, to which the tRNAs corresponding amino acid is attached (by aminoacyl-tRNA synthetases). tRNAs cope with the degeneracy of the genetic code in two manners: having more than one tRNA (with a specific anti-codon) for a particular amino acid; and 'wobble' base-pairing, i.e. permitting non-standard base-pairing at the 3rd anti-codon position.
Source: RNAcentral